Molecule: ribosomal RNA, 490 nt
Filed under: uncultured bacterium
Lineage: Bacteria
Description: partial 16S ribosomal RNA
Rfam family: Bacterial small subunit ribosomal RNA
Source: RNAcentral
GAUGAACGCUAGCUACAGGCUUAACACAUGCAAGUCGCGGGGCAGCAUGGGGGUUGCUUGCAAUCCCCGAUGGCGACCGGCGCACGGGUGAGUAACGCGUAUCCAACCUGCCCUUCACCACGGGAUAACCCGGCGAAAGUCGGACUAAUACCGUAUGUUGUCCAUUGACGGCAUCCGAUUUGGACGAAAGGUUUGGCGGGGAAGGAUGGGGAUGCGUCCGAUUAGCUGGACGGCGGGGUGAGGGCCCACCGUGGCGACGAUCGGUAGGGGUUCUGAGAGGAAGGUCCCCCACACUGGAACUGAGACACGGUCCAGACUCCUACGGGAGGCAGCAGUGAGGAAUAUUGGUCAAUGGGCGUAAGCCUGAACCAGCCAAGUAGCGUGCAGGAUGACGGCCCUAUGGGUUGUAAACUGCUUUUAUGCGGGGAUAAAGUGGCCCACGUGUGGGUUUUUGCAGGUACCGCAUGAAUAAGGACCGGCUAAUUCCGUG